This 600-nucleotide ribosomal RNA is filed under the name Triticum aestivum (bread wheat). Its description in RNAcentral is "partial small subunit ribosomal RNA". The record is from RNAcentral. Lineage: Eukaryota; Viridiplantae; Streptophyta; Magnoliopsida; Poales; Poaceae.
CUCCCUGACCAAGACGACACCAUCCACUGGAACUUAACCACCUCGGGGACAUACUCGGCCGCCUUUGCCUACGAUGCGUAGUUCCUUGGCUCCUACUCACGUUUCGACACAACCAAGGUCUGGUCUGCAAACGCUGAGUCCAAGUGCAAGUUCUUUGCUUGGCUUGCUCUACACAGAAGAAUCCUCACUGCGGAUAUGCUGGCUGUGAAGGGAUGGCCUCAUGAGCCCAGAUGCCUGCUCUGUCUCCAGCAGCCUGAAACAGCAACUCACCUCUACAAAGACUGCUCCUUCACGGUCGCGGUCUGGAACCAGGUGAACACCUGGACUAACGAAGGCGUUCCAAUCUCGGGCUUCCUCCCUGAGCCAGGAAACGUGUCAGACUGGUGGGACAAGACUCUCAUUUCGCAGCCCAAUCAAGUGCGCAAGAGGCGCAGUGGAAGAAUCAUCUACACGAUAUGGUCCAUAUGGAAGGAGCGGAAUAGGCGGGUGUUCACUGGACUAAGGUUGACGCAUCGCGAGGUGGCGUCUCUAGCCCUAGACGCAAUCAAUCAGCGCGACCUGGCGUUUGCUGGCAGCCUGCCAACCGCAGGCAUUGGUUAA